UUUUAGUUUGCUGAGGUUUCUGCAAUUUAUUUUUGAGAAAAUGGGAAAGCGUGGAAAUAAUCAGAAGAAAGCCCCUCAGAAUUUGAAGAAAAUGAAGCUGAAUAAUGAAGAUGUGAAAAAAUUCAGUAGUAUGGAGGAUGAAAUUGAUGUCUGGCCGUUUCGAAAAUUUAUCACUCAGAUUCAUUCACGCUUUCAAAUGGUGGUGGUCCGCGUAGCAGGGGCGGCGGUUUAAGUGUUUCUUUAGCUGGGCCAGAUGGGCGGGUCUUAGGAGGUGGUGUUGCCGGUGUUUUAAUAGCUGCGUCCCCAGUACAGACUUAUACAAGAUAAAGUUUGGCCAAAUCUAUUUGAGUAAGUCGAUGCCGACAGAAUCAGAUGGUGAAACAAAUAACCCAGAGAAUGGCAUGGAGCCUCAAAGAGCUGCAGUGGGGAAGCAGAACCACUGUCAGGUUCAAUAUACCCAGCAGGCCCACCUCCAGCAGCAGACACAGUGAGGAGAAUAACCAGCACAAAGAAGCUGAAGGAACUAAUGAAAUGCCAUGGACAGCUCAAGCAGAAAUGUUGGAGAAGUGCUUGAUCGUCUCACACUUA
Molecule: long non-coding RNA, 588 nt
Organism: Spinacia oleracea (spinach)
Lineage: Eukaryota; Viridiplantae; Streptophyta; Magnoliopsida; Caryophyllales; Amaranthaceae
Exons: 3
Source: RefSeq, a predicted model, not a curated record